This 750-nucleotide ribosomal RNA is filed under the name uncultured bacterium. RNAcentral describes it as "bacterial SSU rRNA". It matches the Rfam family "Bacterial small subunit ribosomal RNA", at positions 652 to 1401 of the family's 1533-position model. The record is from RNAcentral.
GAGAAGUAUGCGGAAUGCGUGGUGUAGCGGUGAAAUGCAUAGAUAUCACGCAGAACCCCGAUUGCGAAGGCAGCAUGCCGGCUUCCUACUGACGCUGAAGCACGAAAGCGUGGGGAUCGAACAGGAUUAGAUACCCUGGUAGUCCACGCGGUAAACGAUGAGCGCUAGGUGUCCGGGGGGAAUGGCCCCUGGGUGCCACAGCGAAAGCGUUAAGCGCUCCACCUGGGGAGUACGCCGGCAACGGUGAAACUCAAAGGAAUUGACGGGGGCCCGCACAAGCGGAGGAACAUGUGGUUUAAUUCGAUGAUACGCGAGGAACCUUACCCGGGCUCAAACGUUGCAGGAAGGGCUUCUGAAAGGAAGCCCGUCUACGGACCUGCAACGAGGUGCUGCAUGGUUGUCGUCAGCUCGUGCCGUGAGGUGUCGGCUUAAGUGCCAUAACGAGCGCAACCCCUACCGCCAGUUGCCAACAGGCAAAGCUGGGGACUCUGGCGGGACUGCCGGCGCAAGCUGCGAGGAAGGCGGGGAUGACGUCAAAUCAGCACGGCCCUUACGUCCGGGGCGACACACGUGUUACAAUGGCAGGUACAGCGGGAAGCCACCUGGCGACAGGGAGCGGAACCCGAAAGCCUGUCUCAGUUCGGAUAGGAGUCUGCAACCCGACUCCAUGAAGCUGGAUUCGCUAGUAAUCGCGCAUCAGCCACGGCGCGGUGAAUACGUUCCCGGGCCUUGUACUCACCGCCCGUCAAG